AAAGACCUAUAGGACCUUACCCUACAUCAU
RNAcentral lists this transfer RNA (30 nucleotides) under Phrynocephalus axillaris (toad-headed agama). RNAcentral's name for it is "partial tRNA-Ala". The record is from RNAcentral. Lineage: Eukaryota; Metazoa; Chordata; Lepidosauria; Squamata; Agamidae.